This 705-nucleotide ribosomal RNA is filed under the name Triticum aestivum (bread wheat). Its description in RNAcentral is "partial small subunit ribosomal RNA". Lineage: Eukaryota; Viridiplantae; Streptophyta; Magnoliopsida; Poales; Poaceae. The record is from RNAcentral.
AUGAGCAUAUGUGCUAGUUUGGGCAAAAAAAAAGGUACACCUCUCCCAGCGGAGAGAAAGAAGCGGCGCCUGCGACCGGAGCCCGGCACCGGCUACGGCCACCGACUUCUUAUUCCCUCCCGCCGAUUCAAUUCAGGCAAGUCUUUCUCUUUGCUGUCCUCUCCCGGUUUCGUUUCUCCUCAUCUCACGGGAUCAAACCCUAGCUAUCUAGGUUUUCCUCCCAAACUAACUCCUCCUACCUACAUUUACUUGCCGCGGCAGCUCAGUCGUGGGGGAGAUUUAAUGAUGGAUGCUGCCGCCGAGGUUCCCCAAACGAUCUGUCCUGAGAAGAAACCACGCGCGGAUUUCGAUGGCGAGGCAGGCCGACAUUCCCCGGCGGCCGUAGACCCUGUCUCCAAGGUGCUUGAGGACAACAACCUCCUCGCGGAGAUCCUCCUCCGCGCCGGCUUCCCCACCACCCUCGUUCGCGCUGCCCUUGUGUGCAGGUGUUGGUACCAUCUCGCCUCGAACCAGGGCUUCCUCCGCCGGUUCCGUGAGCUCCACCCGCCCCGCCUACUUGGCUUCUACAUUGGUAGCAUCUUGAUCCGGCCGGAAUUGGUAGCCUUCCUGUGCUUUGUCCCGAUGCUGCCCCAGCCCCCGGAGCUCAACAUAUGGAGUGCGCGGCAGAGAACUAGCAUAUGGAGUGCACCGCCCGCUUUGCCCUGA